UGGAGGUACAACCCCAGUGGCUGCCUUAGCUCUGGAAUCCUGGAUUCAGCUCAGGCAGGAACUACUCCGUCUGCAGGGUCUGGAGGCUCCGGGGCAGG
RNAcentral lists this microRNA precursor (98 nucleotides) under Canis lupus dingo (dingo). RNAcentral describes it as "mir-8834 microRNA precursor family". It matches the Rfam family "mir-8834 microRNA precursor family". The record is from Rfam by way of RNAcentral. Lineage: Eukaryota; Metazoa; Chordata; Mammalia; Carnivora; Canidae.